Long non-coding RNA from Vitis riparia (riverbank grape), 527 nucleotides. RefSeq lists it as uncharacterized. The record is from RefSeq and is a predicted model, not a curated record. The transcript has 2 exons. NCBI's taxonomy places the organism in Eukaryota, Viridiplantae, Streptophyta, Magnoliopsida, Vitales, Vitaceae.
UUUAAGAAAUGGGGUCCCGAGGAAGAGGAUUCUGAGGAUGAAGUUCCUGAUAAAGAAGAUGAUGAGGAAGGGGAUUCUGAGGAACAGCAUCCCAAUGUAGAGGAUUCUGUGGAAGAAGACACCGAGGAAGAGGAUUCUGAAGGACGAAGUGGAUCCUUGGGGCCAAGAUCCUGAUAAGGAAGACUAACUUCAACUUUUCAUAUGCAAAACAAAGAAAGGGUUUUCCUUCUACAUGGUACAUAUAUAUAUGCAGAAUUUGGCUUCAUUUGAGGACAUGUAUUGAUACCAUCCCAGUCAGAGAGAUGCUGCCAAUGAAUUGUUCAUCAGUCUCUUUUGUAUGUUUUGCUUUAUGAUGCCAUAUCUGUAAGUUGCUAAUGCUACCUGCUGGCACUUAAGAGACCAUUCAACCGCUUGUGGUUCAAAAUAUGUGUGAUUAAGCUUUUUUGCACAUUUGACUUUAUUUGCAUUAUUCUUGUGUACGCGUAUUAAUAUUAUAUGACCAAGCUUGUUAGGACCUUUCAUAUUCA